CACUCGGUAGCAUGGAACUAAGUGCAAGAUAUUUCUCUUUAAACCUAGCUGCCUACGGUUACGGGAACAAGGAGUAAUAGAGGAUGUGAAGGACGUUCCUUAGCGAGAACUUCUCAAUUAAAUCUUAGCUCUCUAAGUACAGCAACGGUACGUACUACGUUCCGACGGCGAACCUUCGCAAAGGCGGCCCGACUCCGGCAGGUUAAUUGCUCGCGACGGCAUCUGCCUCUUGCCGUGUGUCUACCUAAGCGAGGCGGCCCUCGCACGACUAUUGCACAAAGCUCAUCUCCUGCUCUCUGUUAGCUUCUCCACGCAGACUUCCCUGUACUCUGUUAGCGGAGUUAAUCCUUUUCGUCUCUAAUUAUCCUAAUUAAUUUAGGAUUGUUAAAAAAGAAGAGGUGCGACCGUAUAAAAAGAACGAUGGAGUUCGGUGGUAAUGAAAGACAAUUAAGGGUGAUGAGGCCGGCAAGAUAUUCUAAUUGACUCCUCCGUAAACUUGCCGGCCGGCCUCAUCAUUGCAGCGGGCAUAAGUCUUCGGAUAGUGCUACCAAGGGAAUAGAAGGGAGUUAGUUAUAUAGAAGUGUUUUAAACGGAAGUCUCAGAAGUUUAUUUUUGUCAAGGGAAAGUGUAGGAGAGGGGCUACAUGAAGUGCUCGGGCUGAAGAGGGAUCGUCGCAUCCAUAUACUUCUACACCGCCGCCGAACUCCCUUAAUCCGCCGCCUCCGGACCCCUGCUGUACCGCCACCUACACUGACCUACCGACCUCCGGAAGCGGGUGGUGGGUGUGUAGCCUUGGUGGAGGGCGCAGCAGAGGUUCAGGCAAUCAAGAAGAAGACGGACAACCAGAGACAAUCAAGCAGUGAGGUAGUAGUCCGGUAGUCAGUAGUCAGUAGUGAUGUCUACCUCGUUUCUACUCGUAAGUCAACAUGAAAGGUGUAGGUGACUAAGGUGGUACGUCCACGUGUUUUUCAAUACAGUAGGUUACGUGUAUUAAUCAGUCUUCUCCCUCGAAAUACUACGUCCUACGUUGGCUUUGAGGUAGAAAUUCUACGGACUACUUUUCAAAGGAAGAGUACUAAACGAACUUAUGCCUUUAUUCUUCGUAAACGCAGAAACCGUCGGUUGGAAACAUCUGACCUAGCAACAACAUACACGGUGUUAAGGGAGGUGCCUUGUGUUCGGUUCCUACUCAGCCAACCCGUAGACAAGUUGCACACAGGAAAGUGAUUCCUUCAAACCGUUGAGUCUCCGACGUUCGUAGGACCGAACCACGGGUAACGUAAGAAGUCCGGCCCUGGUAAAGAGGGAAACGAAAUGACGAAACAAAGGACAGAAUUCCUGUUUUCAACGCAGUAGUAUACAGCGAACCGUAUAGACCUUGCUCGCGUUCUAUCUAAAUAGCAUAGUUUUGACGUCUGAAUUCUUCUACGCAAUAACGGUACGCUACCUUUAAACGUACCUUGACUUCAAGUUCAACCCAGUCUUUCCGAGAUUUUUAACACCAGAAGUCGUUAGGAUAACGAAAGUUUCGCCUGUGUGUACCUACACGGACAGCUCUUCCUCACGAGCUCUAACGGAGAUAAAACCACUUCCACGUCAACACGCGGAAGUGGGUUAUCGUUCCAAUGAGACGUAUUCGCGACUUCUUAUU
This 1651-nucleotide ribosomal RNA is filed under the name Triticum aestivum (bread wheat). RNAcentral describes it as "partial small subunit ribosomal RNA". Lineage: Eukaryota; Viridiplantae; Streptophyta; Magnoliopsida; Poales; Poaceae. The record is from RNAcentral.